Xiphophorus hellerii (green swordtail) is the source of this 3342-nucleotide RNA transcript. It is a transcript of the gene named optineurin, with no coding region annotated. Lineage: Eukaryota; Metazoa; Chordata; Actinopteri; Cyprinodontiformes; Poeciliidae. The transcript is spliced from 13 exons. The record is from RefSeq and is a predicted model, not a curated record.
GGAAUCGAACCCAGGACGGUUCAGGGGACUAUGUCCUCUGCAUAAUGGGCGCUCGCUCUACCUCUACAGCACGCAGCACAGUAUUAGCAUUCUUGUGACCGUGAGUUUGGUAUUUUAUUUUUGAAAGUCUCAAACGGAAACCACUAUAGUAUUGCCGCUCGGGAAGGUGCUUUACGGUUUCACCAACCAGACUCGGUAACAGAGGCUUGGUUGACUCAUUUCGGCCCUUUUCUGAGUCUGUCCGUGUCGUCAGAACGAAUAGCUGGGUUGAGGUUCGGUUCGACAGCUGGAAGCAGCAUGGCGUCAGGAGGCCCCAUGGUGAACGGAGACAUCUCCCGCCCUCCGGGUCAGCCGGGCACGCUGGAGGAGACGGUGCAGCAGAUGAACAUGCUGAUCCAGGAGAACCGCGACCUGAAAGAGGCGCUGCGUCAGACCAACCUGACCAUGAAGGAGCGCUUCGAGGGCCUGACGGCGUGGAAGGAGAAGCAGCGGCAGGAGAAGGACUUCCUGGAGAAGCGUCUGGAGGAGGCCCGCCGCUGCAUAGAGACGCUGACCGUCCAGAACCAGGAGCUCAGCAAGAGGCCGGAGGCAGGGGGCGGAGCUCAGAGCGCGGAGGCCGACGCCCUGCGCGCCCAGGUGGCUCGACUGCAGGCGGAGAAGAACGACCUGGUGGCCCUGAACUCUGAGCUGCAGCUGAAGGCUGAGCAGGGAGCCGAGGAGGACUCCUUCAUCGAGAUCAUCAAGGUGUCGGACGCAGGUGUGGAAGACGUGAACCAAACGUGCGGUUCGGAGCGCAUCAGGCGCCCGGACCUCAGCAUGACCACGUCGCGGCAGGAGAACGAGGAGGCCACGGUGAGCCGGCUGCUGCAGUCGCUGAGGAACGAGACGCAGAGAUGUGAGCAGCUGCAGAGCGAGCUGCAGGCCUGCACUGCCAGAAUCCAGGAUCUGGAGGAGAAGAACCAUAAAGUGGAGAAAACCAUGAAGACCACCCAGACAGAGGCGAAAGAAGACGCUGCAAAGGAGGAGAAGGCGGCGUCUGAGGUGGAGAACCUCAAGUCUCAGGUGAGGACGCUGUUCCGGGACUUGCAGCAGGCGCAGAGCAAGCUGGACGAAGCCGAAGGCAUGAAGAAGAACCUGCAGGACAGGUGUCGGGAGGUGGAGCAGGACGUGGCCACGCUGAAGGCCCAGCUGCUGGAGAAGCAGGCGGUGCAGGCGGAGAACGAGCGGCUGAAGCUGCAGCUGGGCAGCCUGCAGGCGCAGGGCCAGCUGGAGCAGAAGAAGGCCGACGACGACAGGAACAACCUGGCUCAGCUGAAGGACGCCUACACCAAACUGUUUGAGGACUACAACGAGCUCAAAGAGGAGAAGAAGAGAAAGGAGUCCCACAUGGUGGAGAGGAACCUGGUGGAGGACCUGCAGCAGCGGCUCACCGCUGCAGAGGAGGCGCUGGCCGUCAAGCAGAACAAGAUCGACGACAUGAAGCAGGAGAUGUUCCAGAAGGAGAAGGAGCUGGAAACCAUCUCUGUGUUCCAGGCUCAGGCCGAGGUCUACUCCUCGGACUUCUACGCGGAGCGAGCGGCGAGGGAGAAGCUCCACGAGGAGAAGGAGCGCCUGGCCGCACAGCUGGAGUUCGUUAAGAAGCAGAACACGCAGCUGCAGCAGGACAUGGACUCACUGGGCCGGUACGCAACACUCACACAGGCGUUCUCUGAAUGAAAUGCAGCGCAGACACGGAUCCACUGUAUCGGGCUCUCAUGGACCCGAUGCCAGUCUUGUAGGAAGAGGUGCCGACUGGAACCAGGGCAACAUUCCUGAACACGCCUGCCCCAAAUGCAACGAGAUCCUUCCAGACCUGGACUCCCUGCAGAUCCACAUCAUGGACUGCAUCAACUAGACCUUCCUCACCAGGAGCACCAUCAGAGUCUUCCUCUGCUCUCACCCGUACUGUACCUCCCUGUGUCCUAUCCUGUAGGAUCCAAAGAUCUCAUAGUUUCUGGAUGGAAGUCUAAAGAGGCUUCAUCAAUCCAGGCCUGCUGUAGUUUGGGGGUUUGUGGAAAAAGUGCGUAGGAGCCAAUCCCAACAGUUGGCUUUUGAUCGAUCUAGCUGGAAAUAAACCCUAUAUUUUAUAUUAUUAUUGUUUUUUUGUUUUAUUUUGUUCAGUUUGUCAAAAAAAAAAAAAGGUAAUCUUUCUCAGAAUCUAUAGAUUUUAGAGCAACGUUAUCACAACUUGGCGCCACUGAAAAAGGCAGGUGAAAGAAAACCUUCAAUUUGCCACGUAUAUAAAAUCCCUGUAAAUGUUGUAAAACGUCUCAUCAUAGGAGGAAACGAGUAGAAAGAGUAGGAAGCAUAUAUGUCACGUUUAGGAAAGGUAAAGUGAUCUCCUGUCUGUUCUACAGCCAACUGAAACCUGAGAGCAGCAGAUGAGGCUCCACACUGCAGAACAGCAUGAGCCAAAACACUGGCGUGGAUUUAUUUAUUUAUUUUCUUGUGUGUUUAUAGUAAACCAAGCAAACCGAAGGUUUACAUCGCCUUACAUGCCAUUUGCCAUCUUAUGGCACAAUAUUUAAUAUUGACCAUAGCUGUCAUAGAAAUCCCCUUUUAAAAGCCAAACGUUUGGUUUUCACGUUGCUCUAUAUCCUGUCUCAAAAUUACCCUGUAGAAAUCUUUCAUGCUAUUUUUUUAUUUUUAUUAUUUGACAUGUUUUGUCUUGGCAUUUCAGGCGUUCCAUAUAUUGAAGCUGGUUAUGCUAGGACAGUUUUUUAAAGCAAAAAAAAAAAAAAAAAUCAUUAAUCUACUAAUUUAAUAUAGAUGUCACCUUAAAUCUUUUGCCAUCUUUUUGUUUCUUUUCUUUUUUUUUUUUUUGACCAUAGAUAUAUGUUUUGUAAAUACGGGCCUGGGAUGGUACAGGAGCCUGGCUUUGCAUGAAAACAUUGUACCACUUCUAGCAUUUAAAUAAGGUUCAGUUAAAGAAUUUAAGAAAAUGUUUUGGGGUUUGUAAUCUCUGCGUGAUCUGAGCUGAAAAGUGGGAAAGAAUAUAAAUCUGCAUGGCAGACAUGUCCUACCAUGUUACCAAGUAUGCAUCUUCUAAAUGCUUUGAGAUUUUAUGGAGUCUCUGAUCAUCAUUUAAGCUCCUGAUUGGAUUUACUGUCUGGAGAGGAUGGGUAAGAUGAAGGCACACAUUUUCUUUUUAUUAAGCAGAUGAAACUCUAUAAUUAGAACAUAAUUUAUAUUUACCUGUUUAUGAAUAUGCAGGAAACUCUGUCAGUUCUGUAUACCUUGUAAGUUUUAAAGGUUUGGAAUUCUGUGGAAAAAAAAAAUUAAUAAAAUGAGAGAAUUUCUGUC